RNAcentral lists this ribosomal RNA (491 nucleotides) under uncultured bacterium. RNAcentral describes it as "partial 16S ribosomal RNA". It matches the Rfam family "Bacterial small subunit ribosomal RNA", at positions 29 to 507 of the family's 1533-position model. The record is from RNAcentral.
AGUGAACGCUGGCGGUAGGCCUAACACAUGCAAGUCGAACGGCAGCACAGUAAGAUCUUGCUCUUACGGGUGGCGAGUGGCGGACGGGUGAGGAAUACAUCGGAAUCUACUUUUUCGUGGGGGAUUCGUAGGGAAACUUACUCUAAUACCUCAUACUACCUACGCGUGAAAUCAGGUGAUCUUCGUACCUUUCGCUCUUUCUUUUGCCGAUUUCGGAUUAGCUAGUUGGCGGGGUAAAGGCCCACCAAGGCGACGAUCCGUAGCUGUUCUGAGAGGAUGAUCAGCCACACUGGAACUGAGACACGGUCCAGACUCCUACGGGAGGCAGCAGUGGGGAAUAUUGGACAAUGGGCGCAAGCCUGAUCGAGCAAUACCGCGUGGGUGAAGAAGGUCUUCGGGUUGUAAAGCCCUUUUGUUGGGAAAGAAAAGAAGCAGGUUAAUACCCCGCUGUUCUGACGGUACCCAAAGAAUAAGCACCGGCUAACUUCGUG